CCUACGGGGGGCUGCAGUGAGGAAUAUUGGUCAAUGGGCGCUAGCCUGAACCAGCCAAGUCGCGUGAAGGAAGACGGCCCUAUGGGUUGUAAACUUCUUUUAUAUGGGAAUAAAAUGCAGCACGUAUACUGCUUUGCAUGUACCUUAUGAAUAAGGAUCGGCUAACUCCGUGCCAGCAGCCGCGGUAAUACGGAGGAUCCGAGCGUUAUCCGGAUUUAUUGGGUUUAAAGGGAGCGUAGGCGGGAUGUCAAGUCAGUUGUGAAAGUUGAGGGCUCAACCGUAUUCUUGCAGUUGAAACUGGCUUCCUUGAGUGCAGUAGAGGUAGGCGGAAUUCGUGGUGUAGCGGUGAAAUGCUUAGAUAUCACGAAGAACUCCGAUUGCGAAGGCAGCAUGCUGGACUGUAACUGACGCUGAUGCACGAAAGUGUGGGUAUCAAACAGGAUUAGAUACCCGUGUAGUC
Molecule: ribosomal RNA, 460 nt
Filed under: uncultured bacterium
Lineage: Bacteria
Description: partial 16S ribosomal RNA
Rfam family: Bacterial small subunit ribosomal RNA
Source: RNAcentral